RNAcentral lists this microRNA precursor (123 nucleotides) under Gossypium arboreum. Its description in RNAcentral is "MIR7504 microRNA precursor family". It matches the Rfam family "MIR7504 microRNA precursor family". The record is from Rfam by way of RNAcentral. Lineage: Eukaryota; Viridiplantae; Streptophyta; Magnoliopsida; Malvales; Malvaceae.
AAUAGUUUUUUGCCACGUCAGCAUUUUCAUCUUGAAUUUCAGCAUUUUUAUCCUUAAAAAAAUCAAAUCCAAAUUAAAAUUCUGAAAUUCAGGAUAAGAAUACUAAUGUGGCAUAAAACCAUU